CACGUAGGGGGCAAGCGUUGUCCGGAAUUAUUGGGCGUAAAGAGCGUGUAGGCGGUUAUACAGGUCCGCUGUGAAAACUGGAGGCUUAACCUCCAGACGUCGGUGGAAACCGUAUAACUAGAGUCCGGAAGAGGAGAGUGGAAUUCCUGGUGUAGCGGUGAAAUGCGCAGAUAUCAGGAAGAACACCAGUGGCGAAGGCGGCUCUCUGGGACGGUACUGACGCUGAGACGCGAAAGCGUGGGGAGCGAACAGG
This 253-nucleotide ribosomal RNA is filed under the name uncultured bacterium. RNAcentral describes it as "partial 16S ribosomal RNA". It matches the Rfam family "Bacterial small subunit ribosomal RNA", at positions 524 to 776 of the family's 1533-position model. The record is from RNAcentral.